Non-coding RNA from Oncorhynchus mykiss (rainbow trout), 1154 nucleotides. The record is from RefSeq and is a predicted model, not a curated record. Lineage: Eukaryota; Metazoa; Chordata; Actinopteri; Salmoniformes; Salmonidae.
ACCCAAGCUUAUCCCAAGAACCUGAAGAGUCACAAAGUAUACAGCACCGUCUACAAACAUCUGUUGAAGGAGUUUGGCUCAGAGAAAAUACUCCAACUGGCCGUGUCGACUCAGGACUCCACUUUCAAUAGGAUUCUUGUGAAGUCAUUGAGCAAGGAGCUUCUCCACAGUUGUAACGAGGCAUCAAGAGCAGCCUCAAGAACAUCUUUCGAAGCCACCAGGCCAGAACCUCUUCUCAUGGCUGAAGAUGUGAAGGCUACCAGAGGGAAGCUGUCUUUCCUACAAAGGCUUGCCAGACUGAAAUUCAACUUAAAGCCAUUCAUGAUGGGAAACAAGAAGAAUUCCCGCCAUUCUGAAUCCAAAGACCAGACUACUGCUGAAGAGAUCAUGUUGGCACAUCCUGCCACAUUUGGACUCCCAGAGGGUCUUCCCUCCACCUCUCAACAGGAGAAGCCUCGCAAACGUCCCCUUCUAAUCAGGAUGUUUUCCACCAUCUCCAUAGGCCUAUCCAAGCCAUUCAAACGGUUUUCAAAGCAAGCUUAAUACAACAAUUUCCUUUAAUACAGUAAUAUUUGCAUUGAAUUGAUGGCCUUUGUCUUAUUUUGUGUUGCCCUGUUAACACAUUUGAUUAGAAAAUACAUAGUAUAUUUAGUUUAGUUUAUUAUGCAGUCAUAGUCACGGUGUAGGCUAAACAAAGUAAUGUUGUCCUGAAUAAUGUAUAGAACAUGCACCCCCACCCACACACACACAAACAGUGUGAUUCAUUGAACACACACACAUAGUACUUCAGUUAUGUCCCACAACCAACAUUCGACCAGAUAUCAAUGAUUCAGUGUAAAAUACAUGUACUGUAAAAUAAACCGUAUUUAAUUUACAACCAAUAAAAUAAUACAUGAUGCAGGACACUCAGUUAUAAGGGAAUUAACUGGUUUAACUUCUCAAACAGAAACACACACAUUUCCAUUUUCUGUGGAUCGCCCAUGUUUACAUUUUACUGAAUGCCAGUCUGACCUUUGACCUGUAGAUGGCAGUAAAGGUCUACUUUUGCUGCAGAUCCUCUUCUAAAGCUCAAACCUCUCUGGACAAGGAGCCGAAACAUUUGUCCCUAGUGAGAGAGUGUGUGUGUGUGUGUGUGUGUGUGGCAAGAAAAGGGA